GUUAAAUUUAGAAUUUAUUUAUGAAAAAAUAUUCAGUUGAAA
Molecule: transfer RNA, 42 nt
Filed under: Amblyomma americanum (Lone Star tick)
Lineage: Eukaryota; Metazoa; Arthropoda; Arachnida; Ixodida; Ixodidae
Description: partial tRNA-Leu
Source: RNAcentral